UAACGUCGGAGACCUGCAUCGCUUUGGGCUUUCCUCCCACAUUAAGCUGACUCGCCGUAAUAUGACUGGAAUACUGUUAAAAGCGGCGUUAAACCCAACCCAACUCACUCACUCACUCAUUUUAAUGACUGACUAAAAAUCGACCCAUGUCACAACUACACUGCAUUCCGGCUGUUUGUAUUUACGUGUGGUGGAGGGACGUUGUGUAUCAAACCUGUGAAAUACUUACGUUGUAACAAUCUGGGACAUGGUCCACAAAUCGAUCUUAGCGCUACGACUGUUGCAAAGUGUAGGAGUUACGAUCACCUUAGCACCAAGAUAGCUUUGUUCAGUGGGGCCCAGAAGUCAUACCAACACAUACUGGUGAAAAAAGUAGGGAGUAUCGCAACACCCAUCAUCAAAUAAUUGCUUCAGACAAUCAGGAGAUCGGGAGAAAGUAAGGUGAAACAUAGCACAAAGAUAGAAUGAGUUUUAGUGUCUGUUUAUCAAUCAAGAUGACCUAUCAAUGAUGUUCACAGCCUGAUCAGGGCCUGACUAGCAUGCAUCAUGUUGGUUGUGGCUUCGGGAUGUGGAUGGGGUGGGGUUAUGGCUUCAGGAUUGGGGGGUAGGGGGAUGGUGGUUCAGGGGAUUUUGUAUCGAGAUAAGAUAUGUUUUCAGCUACAAAACCAUAUAUUUCUUUAUAGAACAAUGAGUCUGAAUUCUUUUUGAAGGAAAACACAUUGCAACAAUGUAAUUUUUGUGGUAGGCUAUAUUGGGUUUUUGGCCACUGAGGUGUAAUUAUUUUUUUCAAGAAAGUUUGGGGACAAUAUAUUGUUUUAGAUUAAAUCUCUCCGCCCAAUAUGAAAUAGUCGGUCCCAUCCCAUCAAGAAGGAACGAAAUGUGUAUAAUCUUUAUUAUAAGACAUACCCAAGAAAUGCUUAGCCAUUUAAUACAAGACGUUGUGCAUCCAUGUCUUACCACCUUGUAGAUGUGAUGGGGUGGUGUGGUUAAAGUACUGGCUAGUCGUCUGCACUGCCAGAUGUUAUCCCAACAUGGGUUCCUUUGUGUGAAACCCAUUCUGGUUUCCCCUAGUCACUGGUGAUGUGCCCCAUGGGGAUCCAGGGUUAGAACAGUGCCCCAUGGGGAUCCAGGGUUAGAACAGUGCCCCAUGGGGAUCCAGGGUUAGAACAGGUCCCCAUGGGGAUUCAGGGUUAGAACAGGUCCCCAUGGGGAUCCAGGGUUAGAACAGGUCCCCAUGGGGAUGCAGGGUUAGAACAGUGCCCCAUGGGGAUCCAGGGUUAGAACAGUGCCCCAUGGGGAUCCAGGGUUAGAACAGGUCCCCAUGGGGAUCCAGGGUUAGAACAGGUCCCCAUGGGGAUCCAGGGUUAGAACAGGUCCCCAUGGGGAUCCAGGGUUAGAACAGUGCCCCAUGGGGAUCCAGGGUUAGAACAGGUCCCCAUGGGGAUCCAGGGUUAGAACAGGUCCCCAUGGGGAUCCAGGGUUAGAACAGUGCCCCAUGGGGAUCCAUGGUUAGAACAGUGCCCCAUGGGGAUCCAGGGUUAGAACAGGUCCCCAUGGGGAUCCAGGGUUAGAACAGUGCCCCAUGGGGAUCCAGGGUUAGAACAGUGCCCCAUGGGGAUCCAGGGUUAGAACAGGGCCCCAUGGGGAUCCAGGGUUAGAACAGUGCCCCAUGGGGAUCCAGGGUUAGAACAGGUCCCCAUGGGGAUCCAGGGUUAGAACAGUGCCCCAUGGGGAUCCAGGGUUAGAACAGUGCCCCAUGGGGAUCCAGGGUUAGAACAGUGCCCCAUGGGGAUCCAGGGUUAGAACAGUGCCCCAUGGGGAUCCAGGGUUAGAACAGUGCCCCAUGGGGAUCCAGGGUUAGAACAGUGCCCCAUGGGGAUCCAGGGUUAGAACAGGUCCCCAUGGGGAUCCAGGGUUAGAACAGGUCCCCAUGGGGAUCCAGGGUUAGAACAGUGCCCCAUGGGGAUCCAGGGUUAGAACAGUGCCCCAUGGGGAUCCAGGGUUAGAACAGGUCCCCAUGGGGAUCCAGGGUUAGAACAGUGCCCCAUGGGGAUCCAGGGUUAGAACAGUGCCCCAUGGGGAUCCAGGGUUAGAACAGGUCCCCAUGGGGAUCCAGGGUUAGAACAGGUCCCCAUGGGGAUCCAGGGUUAGAACAGGUCCCCAUGGGGAUCCAGGGUUAGAACAGUGCCCCAUGGGGAUCCAGGGUUAGAACAGGUCACCGGCAACCUACAAACACUGUGGAGACUUUCAUUUCAACAUAUCAGCAUAUUCCAUGUCAGUUUGGUUGCCCUUUGAUGUACUGAAGCCAGAUAGUGCCGGGCCUGGAUAGAGACUGGGGUGCACGGUGCUGUGUGGGAGGUCGUGUUUUUUUGUUGAAUAUGUUAUUCAGAGUUAAUAUAUAAACACACAUUUGUAUAUAGAGAUCAUAGUUUUGUAUUCGGGAUUACCCCGUGUGCACCUUGUUAGAAUCUUGUUUAAACAUUCCACACCCAGUUGACGUGUAGAUUGCUUGCAAUGUUUGUCUCAUGGACGCAGCACUGUGUUAUAUGUUGGGAAAGCCUAGUUCGUGGGCCGCAGGACAUGUGACAUGCUGCUGGGUUAUGGUCAUGUGACAUUGCACAGUGAGUGUCACGUGACAUUAUGAAGGUCGUAUGGCACUGUACAGUGUGAAGGUCAUACGACAUUGUAUAUUAUGAAGGUCAUGUGACAUUUUGCAAUGGUCAUGUGACAUUGUACACUUUGAAGGUCAUGUGACCCACAUUGUAAGGUUCAUGUGACAUGUUACAGUCUAAUAGUCAUGUGACAUUAUGCAGUGUGAAGGUCAUGGUCAGAAAUGAUACUUAAUAAUUCCUGGAACACGACACGGUCCCGCCAUUUGUAAUAUUGCCCUAUGUAGACAGUCAUACACUAAUCCUCAUGUCAUGACAUGCGACAUCUGCAGCCUCGUGACAUCUGCAGCCUCGUGACAUCUGCAGCCUCGUGACAUCCUGGGACACACGUAAAGAUCUGGGGUGAAAUACGUCUGAGGCAACCCAUGCUUGCCGAAAAGGCGACUAACAGGAUCGGAUGGUCAGGCUGACUGACUUGGUUGAUCAAUGUCAUCGUCUAUCCCAAUCGCGUGGAUCGAUGCUCAUGAUGUCAAUCACUGGAUUGUCUGGUCCAGACUCAAUCAUUUACAGACUCCGGUCAAUUAGCUGGAAUAUUGCGGAGUGUGGCGAUAAACAACAAACAUACAAACAUCUUAUGAGACAUCUUUAGUGAUGUGACCUCAUCGUCAGGUUAAAACUGGUCCAGCUUUGUCCAUUAUAAACAAUCAGGUCUGUUGUCAAUAUCACAAGCAAUCAAAUUGUAACACGUUUCUCGUACAGUUUGGUCGCGAUCAUCGAAUCGCAGCCUUACUGUCAUGCCGUAUCAGUCAUCCAUUUGUCCAAUGUUUCAUUCUGUGUGGUGUUUUUUCACUGGGUUGGCUUGUCUUGAUUGACAGUGUGUGUUAAACAUAUUCAUUUACGAAGGCAAAGGACACCAUGUUGUAUAGGCGGGGCUGACGUGGGGAUUUUGACCCAUAAUCCUGGGUUUCAGUGUUUCAGCAUUUUAGGCAAUUUUGAGACUACAUUCAUCAUUCAAACAUUUGUUUCUGUUGGCCCCAUAAUAUGUGAAGAAAUGCAAACGUCUGUUCUAGAGUGUCCUUGACAGCUUAUAUGUGUUAUAAUCCCUCACCGUAGGAUGUGUGUCUCUUUGUUCCUGUACAAUAUGACUAAAUGUCAUGUAUACUGCUCAAAAGAAGUGAAGGAACACUCAAUUCUGUUCAUAUCACUAUAGUUUAUCUGUAAUAAGUUAUCGUCAUAUGAAAAAAUGUGUUCUUUACCUUCUUCCGACUAGUAUAUAUGCCAGAUAUUGCUGCAGACAGUGUGCUUCUAUACUGCUCAAAAGUUGAUAGGGAUGCUGUUCUUUGAUACACCAACUGAUAAAUAUAGUCUGAAAUAUCUCAAUAUUCCUAUCAAUAGUUGAGUAGUAUAGUUGCUCUAACAAAUGUCUUGUUAUAAAUACCUGAGGAGCCUUGUUGUUAAUGUGAUGGCUUCGAUUCACAUGAACUAGCUGCCAUCUGUCCCAAACUAAAAUAUAAUUCCUUCCUUAAUUAAAACAGGGGGCACGGACGGCCCAGACGGCCCAGUCGUCUAAGGCACUGCAAUUCACUGUGCAGAGUUGCGUCCCUUGGGCACGCCAGAAACCUAUGAUUGUUGGUUCGAAUCCCGGUUCGCCCCAAUUAUGUUUCUAGGUUUGUCAGCACCAUACCUGUGCUCGUGGGUUUCACCGAAGUGGUAAACGUCUGUGACCUGCAUCACUUCGGGCUUUCCUCCAACAUUAAGCUGACACGCCGUGAUAUAACUGGAAUACUGUUAAAAGCGGCGUUAAACCAAACUCACUCACUCACUCACACUCAUAUCACAAUAGUUUAUCUGUCAUAAGUUAUUGUCAAAUGAAACAAUGUGUUCUUUACCUUCUUCCGAGUAGUAUAUAUGCCAGAUAUUGCUGCGCACAGUGUGCUUCUAUCCUGCUCAAAAAUUGAUAGGGAUGCUGUUCUUUGAUACACCAACUGAUAAAUAUAGUCUGAAAUAUCUCAAUAUUCCUAUCAAUAGUUGAGUAGUAUAGUUGCUCUAACAAAUGUCUUGUUUCCAUCUAUAAAUACCUGAGGAGCCUUGUUGUUAAUGUGAUGGCUUCGAUUCACAUGAACUAGCUGCCAUCUGUCCCAAACUAAAAUAUAAUUCCUUCCUUAAUUAAAACAGGGGGCACGGACGGCCCAGUCAUCUAAGGCACCGCGAUUCGCUGUGCAGAGUUGCGCCCCUUGGGCACGCCAGAAACCUAUGAUUGUUGGUUCGAAUCCCGGUUCGCCCCGAUUAUGUUUCUAGGUUUGUCAGCACCAUACCUGUGCUCGUGGGUUUCACCGAAGUGCUAAACGUCUGUGACCUGCAUCACUUCGGGCUUUCCUCCCACAUUAAGCUGACACGCCGUGAUAUAACUGGAAUACGGUUAAAAGUGGCGUUAAACCCAACUCACUUACUCACUCCUUAAUUAAAACCAAUAUAAUGCCAGUCUAGGAAAAAAAAAAUCAUCUCAAUUUUGCACCUUGCUCAGAAAAACAAAUUUAAUUUCGAGAUUGAAGAUUUUGUUUUGACAGUUCCCACUGUCUGCAGCCAUGCAUAGACUGUGAUAAUCAUUUUGUGCAAUAUCUUGUCCUCAUUGUGUAUGUGUUUGUCACUGCAGUUAUCUCCCUUCUUCUCAUGACCACCAGAUGUCAUGGUAGUUGUGUUGAUAGAUAUACAGGUUAUUCACUGGCGUUCCCUGGCACAGUGUAAGCAGACAGUAUGUCAUAGUAUUUACACUGUAACCUCAGCCUGGCUGUUUUAGCUUGCGUUCUCACAUAGGUGAGGCUUAUUUCCAUACACAAGAUUGUACAUAUUUGUAAGCUCGUAUUUGUGUGUGAUGUGUGUGUAUAUGUAGGAUGUUUGUCGGGGAUACAGCCUUACUGACCUCCACACCUCUCCACUGCCAUGGCAACACAUUACAGGUGCGACGACAUGAGGCCAUUCUGAUAGAGAGUGGGGUGUGUGUGUGUGGGGGAGAAGGACAAGGGUUCAUUGAGUAGCCCAAUGUCCAGUCUAGGUCUAGAUGUUGUAAUUAGAAACGGUCAAUUCAGAAGUUGUGUUUGUGUAAUGAAAGCCAUCAGUUCAAUAUAUUUGUAGGAGGGGUGGGGUGGGGUGGGUUCGGGGUGUAUUUAAAAAAAACCACCUGUUCCUAGAAAAAGAGGGAAGAGUAAUUUUUCCUCAGGUUUUACACACAAAAAUCAAUUGUUCACUGAAAAUGUUGCAUCGUCUGAAAUGUAAUGCACUGUGGGUAAAACCUUUUCAUUACCGCCUUUCAGAAAAUAUAUUUAUGUCUUUUAGCACUAACUGACAAAAAACAAACUGUCUCAAACAAUAAUCCCAUUCCCCCCACCUUCCCAGAGUAUUGUCAGAUUGAUAUAUUUUGUAAUUUUUGUGUGACAUAGGUAUUGAUGGACUUAAAUCCAACUUACUUGGAUUGCUACUAAACCCCAAUCUUGUACCCGUUUAGUCUCUUCAACUCAACACCCCCUGACAUGCAAUCCCCCGUCUAUCCCAACAAUUGACUUCUUCUCUCACAAUGGUGCUGUCAAUGUUGCUAUGAUUUAGUAAGGAGAAUUUGAUAUUGCGUAAAUCAAAAGAUAGCUGUAAUUUCAGAUUGGUAUCUAUUUUUCAGUACUCAGAAUGAUGUCGUAUAUACAUAAAUACGGAUGCAAGAGGUGUAUGUGUAUGAUAUGUUAAUCUCUGAAAUAUCGAAUGUGAGCUUGGAAAUCCCCCUGUGUAGAAUGGCCUCGUAUCGUCCGACCUGAGUGUGUAUAUGCAGACUGUUAUCACUGAUAGCUACGCCAUCCCUAUGAUGACUGCAUCAGUUGGCCAACAUGUUUCUUGAUAUUUUCCAUUGCAGUUUUAGCAACUUUUGCUUCGUCUAUUUUUCAGUUCCAAUUUAUGGGUAUGAGGAAACAGGUCCUGGCUAUAGACAAUGGUGAUGCUUUCACUUUCAGAUGGACUCUGUCCAAAAACAUUUGCAGAGAAGAUGAUUUGUGUUGUAUUGGUGGUGUUGCUCGUUUUAUGUGUCUUUUCUGGAUUAUUUUUAAUAACAUUUGAAUAUUGUACCAUGUAAGAUGGAACUCUAACUGUAACCCAUGAGAGUCAAGGACGCUAAGGAGAGAACAGCUUGUCCAGUUUGGGCGAGUUUGUUCUUAGACCCUGCACUACAAGAAGAUGAAGUUAACAUUUGUUUGAGUAGGUAUCUCAGGGUAUACUGAACAAAGAAUUUGAUCAUGAACAUUUGGGGGGCAUUUCUAUAAAAAAAUUGGGUGCUCAGUCUUCACCCAAAUGUUCAUGAUCCUUGUUUUGUUCAGUAUGUGUACUCAUAAAUAGAUCAGGGUCAUUGACAUCACUUUAAUGACCUUGUCGUUUUGGAAUAUUUACAUCUAAUAUUGGGAGAUGCAUGGGACCCAGAAAGAGUUCCCCCUCAGUCCACACCAGGACCCUGUUGCUUCUCAAUGUGUGGGUGUUGCUCCAGACUGUCACACUUAAACAUGACUGGUUCACUGAGGUCAUUUGUACUUCUGAUGUGGAACAGGGCUGUGGUCCACAGAGGUCAUUUAUUUCUACCUCCUGAUUUGGUUCAGAGCUCUGGUCCCCACAUGAGGUCAUUUGUACUUCUGAUGUGGAACAGGGCUGUGGUCCACAGAGGUCAUUUAUUUGUACCUCCUGAUUUGGUUCAGAGCUCUGGUCCCCACAUGAGGUCAUUUGUUCUUCUGAUGUGGAACAGGGCUGUGGUCCACAGAGGUCACUUAUUUCUACCUCCUGAUUUGGCUCAGAGCUCUGGUCCCCACAUGAGGUCAUUUGUACUUCUGAUGUGGAGCAGGGCUGUGGUCCACAGAGGUCAUUUAUUUCUACCUCCUGAUUUGGUUCAGAGCUCUGGUCCCCACAUGAGGUCAUUUGUACUUCUGAUGUGGAGCAGGGCUGUGGUCCACAGAGGUCACUUAUUUGUACCUCCUGAUUUGGUUCAGAGCUCUGGUCCCCACAUGAGGUCAUUUGUACUUCUGAUGUGGAACAGGGCUGUGGUCCACAGAGGUCACUUAUUUCUACCUCCUGAUUUGGCCCAGAGCUCUGGUCCCCACAUGAGGUCAUUUGUAUCUUGUGAUAAACUCUGAUGUAGAUAGAUAGACCUUUGAGGUGUUCAAGUCCAAACCAGAGGGCCAGACAUCUUAUCUGCCUGUGAUAAUUCCUACUGUUGUCAAGAUCAAAGAUAGAUAUAUAUCAAAGCCAGAUGCUACAUAGUUGAAACAUAAUAUAAUAUGUCACCAUGGUAACCUCUGCUUCAGGCGACAAACGUAUCCCACUCUUGUUUAGUCUUACAGUAAUUUCCGAAUGUGUAUUCAUUUGGUACGUAGUUAUGUAGACAUAUGGGGAAACUUAGGGAUAUAAUUUGUUUCAAUUCUUUUGUGUUUGGGAUAAUCCAAAACAACUCUCCCACCUGACAGGUAUGUCGUUCUUUUGUUGAAGAAUGACUAAAAUUCUGAAUGAAAGUCUGCGAAGGUUGCCAUGGUGACAUGACUUAGCUGAGGCUGUUUUGUCCUGUGAUGUGUCUCCUACCAGUCUUGUAUAUAGUUGUAAGGGGAGUAGUACCUGGAGUUUACGAUGUACAUAGCUGUAAGGGGAGUAGUACCCUUAGUCUACAUUGUACAUAGUACAGAGAACAUUUGCACUGUCAUAUUUUCAUCAUUUUUCUCAGAUUGAAAAAGUAUAUAAACUAUUUCAAAAUA
Molecule: long non-coding RNA, 8374 nt
Organism: Haliotis rufescens (red abalone)
Lineage: Eukaryota; Metazoa; Mollusca; Gastropoda; Lepetellida; Haliotidae
Exons: 2
Source: RefSeq, a predicted model, not a curated record